RNAcentral lists this small RNA (921 nucleotides) under Pan troglodytes (chimpanzee). RNAcentral describes it as "processed transcript". Lineage: Eukaryota; Metazoa; Chordata; Mammalia; Primates; Hominidae. The record is from RNAcentral.
AGUGGUUGCUGGGCGACCACGGAGAGAAAGCCGGGACUUGAGGUGGUCUCCUAGCAGGAGGAGCGAGAGAGCCCAGCAGCGAUACGGUGGUUUUCGACCCAGCUAGGGGCCAGGCCGUGCGAUUGGGAGCCCGGGGCAGCCCCCCGCGCAGUCACCACGACGCGGCACCCGUGGACGGGCGUUGGCUCUGCGUGGUGGGCGGCUGGGACGGGUCUCGCCGCUUGGCCACAGUGACCGCACUGGACACAGAGCGCGGUGUGUGGGAGGCGUGGACAGGGACCCCUGGUGACUGCCCCCCCGCCGGCCUCAGUAGUCACACCUGCACCCGAAUCUCUGACCGAGAGCUGCAGGUGGCUGGCCGGGAGGGCGGUAUCCACACUCAGCGACGCUAUGGAAGCAUCUACACAUUAAGGCUGGACCCCAGCGCCCGCACCUAUUGGAGGAAACACCUGUUGCUCCUCAUUUGAUGGAACAGCUUGCAAGGCUUGUGAGCAGUGGGCAGGGGUCCCAGAAGGGGCCCCAUGGACUACGGCAUCACUCAUGUUCUGUGGUCGGGCCCUUUGCUGUGCUGUUUGGUGGAGAAACUCUGACCAGAGCUAGAGACACCAUCUGCAAUGAUCUCUACAUCUAUGAUACCCGCACAUCUCCUCCUCUGUGGUUCCACUUCCCCUGUGCAGAUCGUGGGAUGAAACGCGUGGGCCAUCGCACCUGCCUUUGGAAUGAUCAGCUUUACCUGGUUGGGGGUUUUGGUGAGGAUGGCAGGACAGCCAGUCCACAGGUUUGCAUCCUGGACUUUAUCUAAAUAGUGCCAAGACACAUCACUAAGCCUCGUUUUGUUUUGCUUUGUUGCAAACCUAUAAAGCGUUAUCACCAGAGCUAUCUGCUUCACUUCAAAUGCUUAUUAAAUUUCAAUCUGAGACU